RNAcentral lists this long non-coding RNA (576 nucleotides) under Homo sapiens (human). RNAcentral's name for it is "non-protein coding lnc-TIGIT-9:1". The record is from RNAcentral. Lineage: Eukaryota; Metazoa; Chordata; Mammalia; Primates; Hominidae.
AUGUCAACGCAGACACAAAACAGGGCAUGGGUCAGAUCUAGCUGGUUGCAUUCCUAACACCUAGGUUUCAGAGUAAAAAUACAGAGUCAGCUUGUGAUGGCAUUCCCUCAAAACAUGGAAGGAAUUGCAGUAAUGAAAGUCAUCAUGUAUUCUAAGAGACUGUUCUGCGAGAGCACAACACAGACGGGGCUAAAGCAGGGAUUGUCUAAGCCCAGUGUGGAGGAACCAUCAAGGAUUUCAGCACGUUUUUUUAGCCAUUGUGAGAAGCAAAAGUGCUCAGGAGUUAAGAGAAGCAGACGUCCGAAAUUAUCUCCAUGCAUUACCAAAAACCGUGGGCACCACGGCACGGGGAAAACUUACCAGGUACAAUGAGCCAGUGACUGUUACUGAAUUUCUUAAGAUUACACUUUUCCCAACUACUGCAGACUGCUUCAGAAUAGAAGAAGACAACUCUCAUGCCAUCAAGCCGACGGACUUUCAAAAAAAUAAAAGAUGCAUUUCUUUACUUGUAAGUAUUUGUCUUUGCAAAGGGCUCUCUGAUAUGGUAGCACAGAAGUUUGCACAUUCUAAGGAUCU